UCCUCGUAGUACCAAAGUGCUCAUAGUGCAGGUAGUUUUGGCUUUACUCUACUGUAGUGUGGGCACUUCCAGUACUCUUGGAC
RNAcentral lists this microRNA precursor (83 nucleotides) under Ailuropoda melanoleuca (giant panda). RNAcentral describes it as "mir-17". It matches the Rfam family "mir-17 microRNA precursor family". Rfam says of the family: This family represents the microRNA (miRNA) precursor mir-17, family, which includes mir-20, mir-91, and mir-103. miRNAs are transcribed as ~70nt precursors (modelled here) and subsequently processed by the Dicer enzyme to give a ~22nt product. Lineage: Eukaryota; Metazoa; Chordata; Mammalia; Carnivora; Ursidae. The record is from RNAcentral.